UACUAGAGUAGCACUCGCAUAUCAAUAAGCGGAGGAAAAGAAACUAACAAGGAUUCCCCUAGUAACGGCGAGUGAAGCGGGAAGAGCUCAAAUUUGAAAUCUUAAAGGGUUUCCCUCUACGAAUUGUAGUUUAAAGAAGUGUUUUCUGUUGAGGUUUUGGUAAAAGUUCUUUGGAAUAGGACAUCAUAGAGGGUGAGAAUCCCGUAUUUGACCUUUACUUUCAACUUUGUGAUACACUUUCAAAGAGUCGGAUUGUUUGGGAAUGCAGUCCAAAAUGGGUGGUAAAUUUCAUCUAAAGCUAAAUAUUGGCGAGAGACCGAUAGCGAACAAGUACCGUGAGGGAAAGAUGAAAAGAACUUUGAAAAGAGAGUUAAACAGUACGUGAAAUUGUCAAAAGGGAAGCGUUUGACACCAGUGUUGUUUUUCUGAAAAUCAAUUAAAGAACUGUUUAUGCUAAGUUGUUUAGACUUUAUCAGCUAUCUGCUUAGUUUUGAGCUCUUCUUUAAUGCACUUUUCAGUUAACAAGUCAACAUCAAUUUCUUUUGCUGUAAAAAAGCUUGAGGAAGGUGGCUUGAGAUUCGUCUUAAGUGUUUAUAGCCUCUUGCCUAUGCAGUCGGAGAGAUUGAGGUCUGCAGCGUAGAUCCUUCGGGGCUAAAUGCAUUUGUGCUAAGUUAUAGCAUUUUAUAGACAACUUGUUGACUAUGAUUUGUCUUGUAGCUUACUCGCUUAUGUUAUUUUACCUACGCUUAGGAUGUUGAACUCUAUCACACACAG
Molecule: ribosomal RNA, 774 nt
Filed under: uncultured Neocallimastigales
Lineage: Eukaryota; Fungi; Neocallimastigomycota; Neocallimastigomycetes; Neocallimastigales
Description: partial large subunit ribosomal RNA
Rfam family: Eukaryotic large subunit ribosomal RNA
Source: RNAcentral